AUAUUGGACAAUGGGCGAAAGCCUGAUCCAGCCAUGCCGCUUGUGUGUAGAAGGUCUUCGGAUUGAAAAGUACUGUAAGUUGGGAGAAAGGGUUGUAGGUUAAUACGCUGCAAUAUUGACGUUACCAGCAGAAUAAGCACCGGCUCACUUCGUGCCAGCAGCCGCGGUAAUACGAAUGGUGCAAGCGUUAAUCGGAAUUACUGGGCGUAAAGCGAGCGUAGGUGGUUCGUUAAGUUGGAAGUGAAAGCCACGGGCUUAACCUGGGAAUUGCUUUCACAACUGACGAGCUAGAGUACGGUAGAGGGUAGUGGAAUUUCCUGUGUAGCGGUGAAAUGCGUAGAUAUAGGAAGGAACAUCAGUGGCGAAGGCGACUACCUGGACUGAUACUGACACUGAGGUGCGAAAGCGUGGGGAGCAAACAGG
RNAcentral lists this ribosomal RNA (423 nucleotides) under uncultured bacterium. RNAcentral describes it as "partial 16S ribosomal RNA". It matches the Rfam family "Bacterial small subunit ribosomal RNA", at positions 361 to 776 of the family's 1533-position model. The record is from RNAcentral.